Molecule: long non-coding RNA, 631 nt
Organism: Suricata suricatta (meerkat)
Lineage: Eukaryota; Metazoa; Chordata; Mammalia; Carnivora; Herpestidae
Exons: 3
Source: RefSeq, a predicted model, not a curated record
GACGCGCGCACGCGCACGGAAACACGCACACGCGCACACGCACUGUUAUGGUCUGGAUGCCGCGUCCUCCCAAAGUUCAGCGUCCCUAGGGGAAGGGUCCACAGAACGAGGCCGUGCGGGGAGGAGCCACAGCCGCAGGCAUAUCCACCGGCAACGCCCCCGAGACGGAGGCCUCUCGUCCCCUCACAUAGGAUCUGUCCUUGGCCAGACUCCAGGCCUGAACUGAAUGGGGAAGGAGACCUUAGGAAGUGUUCUGUACGUACCCGCUGGCGACUGGAGUGAAGCGGUGGCUGUUGCAAGAGGUCAGGCCGCUGAGCAACAUUGUGCGCGUCCCCUACCCCACGACUCCCUCCCUCGCGUCUCCGGGGGCCCCCCGGGUCCGCUAGCCACGCCACAGCCCCGGUGCUCUCGCCCCACACACACGUCCACCACGUCUCUGUGCUGACCGCUUCAUGUGCAAAGCGUGUCAUUCCUGGGCCAUGUUCUUAGAUGAGUUACUGUCUGUUUCUCAAGAAGUCGGCCCCCCUCCCAUUCAGAAGUGUGCCUGUCUUCCUGGCAGUCGGUGGGGCAGGGCCGCCACCUGCUGGAGACCUCUCCUCACGGGGCAGGGGUGGAGGUCCCAGGGAAGGGU